UACGUAGGUGGCAAGCGUUACCCGGAAUUAUUGGGCGUAAAGCGCGCGUAGGCGGUUUUUUAAAUCUGAUGUGAAAGCCCACGGCUCAACCGUGGAGGGUCAUUGGAAACUGGAAAACUUGAGUGCAGAAGAGGAAAGUGGAAUUCCAUGUGUAGCGGUGAAAUGCGCAGAGAUAUGGAGGAACACCAGUGGCGAAGGCGACUUUCUGGUCUGUAACUGACGCUGAUGUGCGAAAGCGUGGGGAUCAAACAGGAUUAGAUACCCUG
This 266-nucleotide ribosomal RNA is filed under the name uncultured Staphylococcus sp. Its description in RNAcentral is "partial 16S ribosomal RNA". It matches the Rfam family "Bacterial small subunit ribosomal RNA", at positions 524 to 789 of the family's 1533-position model. The record is from RNAcentral. Lineage: Bacteria; Bacillati; Bacillota; Bacilli; Caryophanales; Staphylococcaceae.